RNAcentral lists this ribosomal RNA (252 nucleotides) under uncultured bacterium. Its description in RNAcentral is "partial 16S ribosomal RNA". It matches the Rfam family "Bacterial small subunit ribosomal RNA", at positions 525 to 776 of the family's 1533-position model. The record is from RNAcentral.
ACGGAGGAUGCGAGCGUUAUCCGGAUUUAUUGGGUUUAAAGGGUGCGUAGGCGGGAUAAUAAGUCAGCGGUGAAAGUUUGAGGCUCAACCUUAAAAUUGCCGUUGAAACUGUUUUUCUUGAGUAUAUUUGAAGUAGGCGGAAUUCGUGGUGUAGCGGUGAAAUGCAUAGAUAUCACGAAGAACUCCAAUUGCGAAGGCAGCUUACUAAACUAUAACUGACGCUGAAGCACGAAAGCGUGGGUAUCAAACAGG